UGUGCUGUGCCCAAGUGCUGGAGGCGUGUGCUCGAGUAACAAUAGCUUCAGUUAUCCCCGGCCCCUUGCACUUCGUCAAGAAGCGGGGCACCAAGGACAAGCUAGCUAUGGUUGGAAAACUGUCGCUCGUAGAAAAUUCUGCCGGUGGGAAAGUUAGCAGUCGACGGCUGUCAAGAACAUGUUCUUCAGUAGCCUGUUCAAUCCACGGGAGGUGAGAGUCCUCAAGUCACUACACAGUCAUCAGAAGCUGAGAGAAGUGUAGCCCACCCAUGCCCAGUGAUUGUUUUUGUAGUUUGGGGAACUGUUGAGCUCGGAGCAGGCAACUAUCGAAUUUAGGCUGCGACCCACUUCAUGAACAAAUGCACUCUGCUUGAAGUGCACUGUUGUUUUCGCAUCGUCCUGAUAUGAUCGAGAGUGCUGUGGCGUUGCAAACGCAAACAGUACCAGGAAAUAUCGUCCGGCGGGAGAAAUAUUUGUGACAUGAGGGCAGCUAGCUAUUACCUGUAAAGACACGGAAACGGCAAUUGGGUGGCCCUGGACAUGUCGGCCGCUGACGCGGAGCGGCUGUUUGACUGUUCACUAGACAAGAGCGAAGCCGCAGGAACACCUCCGCCAAUCUUUGCCCCCCCCCCCCCUACCAGGCUCAGCACGAGCAGCGGCAGCAGCAGGAGGAGGAGGAGGAGGAGAAGCGGCGGAAGCAAGAACAACAUCGAGCGGAAGAGGCACAGCAGCUGUGGCGCGAGUCGCAGGGGCGGGCGGAAUCGGAAAAACAGCAGCGGCAGGCACAACAGCGCCAGCAGCAAGCCUUGGAAGCAAAAUGGCAGUGGCAGGAGGGAGAAGAGCGGCGGCAGCAGGAGCGGCGCCAGAAAGAGCAGCAGCAGCAGCAGUUGGAAGAAGGUAACCUGCUCCUGCAGGAGCACGUCGGUGCAUUGCACCAGCCACAGCGGCACGAAGUACACCAGCCCCAGCACCAGCAUGGUCGUGCGGGGAGAAGGAGACGGCGGCGGGGGGCAGGAGGGCCUAUGUUUUCGCCCACACAUUCAUACCACGGCCAGAUAAUAAACAUCAGGAAUGUUUUCACUGGGCGGCUGCCAAGGGGUCGGGGACGGGGUCGUG
Molecule: long non-coding RNA, 1116 nt
Organism: Sycon ciliatum
Lineage: Eukaryota; Metazoa; Porifera; Calcarea; Leucosolenida; Sycettidae
Exons: 3
Source: RefSeq, a predicted model, not a curated record